Molecule: long non-coding RNA, 310 nt
Filed under: Nicotiana benthamiana
Lineage: Eukaryota; Viridiplantae; Streptophyta; Magnoliopsida; Solanales; Solanaceae
Description: long non-coding RNA (NBEN_LNC018285)
Source: RNAcentral
UCAGACGCAGCCUGCUUCUGAUGGUGGUACCCCAAUCCAACUGUCACCCGAUGUUAUGACUUUAAUAUGGACGGAUGUAGUAGGUGGUGCAUCCAAAGGAAGAGUUUAGCUUGGAGUACAACGACCUUCCUCUUUUCGUCCAUCGCCAUUAGUUUCGGAUGCUCCUACGCAAAAUCAGGAAGAAAUGGGAGCAAUGCAAAAUAAUAUUUAGUUGUUAUCAAAACGAUGUGAGACGGCCGAAGCUCACAUUGCUAGAAUGGAUAAAUACAUGAAAAAACACAUGCCCCACUUUUAUGAUGAAGAGUUUGAU